RNAcentral lists this ribosomal RNA (360 nucleotides) under uncultured Methylobacterium sp. Its description in RNAcentral is "bacterial SSU rRNA". It matches the Rfam family "Bacterial small subunit ribosomal RNA", at positions 130 to 524 of the family's 1533-position model. The record is from RNAcentral. Lineage: Bacteria; Pseudomonadati; Pseudomonadota; Alphaproteobacteria; Hyphomicrobiales; Methylobacteriaceae.
CUUCUGGUUCGGAAUAACUCAUGGAAACUUGAGCUAAUACCGGAUACGCCCUUUUGGGGAAAGGCUUGCUGCCGGAGGAUCGGCCCGCGUCUGAUUAGCUAGUUGGUGAGGUAACGGCUCACCAAGGCUUUGAUCAGUAGCUGGUCUGAGAGGAUGAUCAGCCACACUGGGACUGAGACACGGCCCAGACUCCUACGGGAGGCAGCAGUGGGGAAUAUUGGACAAUGGGCGAAAGCCUGAUCCAGCAAUGCCGCGUGAGUGAUGAAGGCCUUAGGGUUGUAAAGCUCUUUUAUCCGGGACGAUAAUGACGGUACCGGAGGAAUAAGCCCCGGCUAACUCUGUGCCAGCAGCCGCGGUAAU